CAGGUUAGUUUUACCCUACUGAUGGAGGGUCGUCGUAAUAGUAAUUGAACUUAGUACGAGAGGAACCGUUCAUUCAGAUAUUUGGUAUUUGCGCCUGUCCGAGCGGGCAAUGGCGCGAAGCUAUCAUCUGCUGGAUUAUGGCUGAACGCCUCUAAGUCAGAAUCCAUGCCAGAACGGGGUGAUUUCCGCCUGCACCAGUCGGAU
RNAcentral lists this ribosomal RNA (204 nucleotides) under Entomoneis paludosa. Its description in RNAcentral is "Amphiprora paludosa partial Eukaryotic large subunit ribosomal RNA". It matches the Rfam family "Eukaryotic large subunit ribosomal RNA", at positions 2979 to 3182 of the family's 3401-position model. The record is from RNAcentral. Lineage: Eukaryota; Bacillariophyta; Bacillariophyceae; Surirellales; Surirellaceae.